AUUGAACGCUGGCGGCAGGCCUAACACAUGCAAGUCGAACGGUAACAGGAAGAAGCUUGCUUCUUUGCUGACGAGUGGCGGACGGGUGAGUAAUGUCUGGGAAACUGCCUGAUGGAGGGGGAUAACUACUGGAAACGGUAGCUAAUACCGCAUAAUGUCGCAAGACCAAAGAGGGGGACCUUCGGGCCUCUUGCCAUCGGAUGUGCCCAGAUGGGAUUAGCUAGUAGGUGGGGUAACGGCUCACCUAGGCGACGAUCCCUAGCUGGUCUGAGAGGAUGACCAGCCACCCUGGAACUGAGACACGGUCCAGACUCCUACGGGAGGCAGCAGUGGGGAAUAUUGCACAAAGGGCGCGAGCCUGAUGCAGCUAUGCCGCGUGUAUGAAGAAGGCCUUCGGGUUGUAAAGUACUUUCAGCGGGGAGGAAGGGAGUAAAGUUAAUACCUUUGCUCAUUGACGUUACCCGCAGAAGAAGCACCGGCUAACUCCGUG
Molecule: ribosomal RNA, 490 nt
Filed under: uncultured bacterium
Lineage: Bacteria
Description: partial 16S ribosomal RNA
Rfam family: Bacterial small subunit ribosomal RNA
Source: RNAcentral